Molecule: non-coding RNA, 781 nt
Organism: Paramisgurnus dabryanus
Lineage: Eukaryota; Metazoa; Chordata; Actinopteri; Cypriniformes; Cobitidae
Source: RefSeq, a predicted model, not a curated record
UGGUACCAAAAAAAAGUUUUAUUUUGUGGCACCAUACUUACUAGUAUAACUCCUCAUGUAACAGUCUUUAAACAGGUGUGGCAGUACGAGUUAAACUCGUAAUUACUUUGCAUUCCUGUGGCCAAUCGCUGCCCCUGGCUUUCUCCAUAAAUACGCGUCGUAGUCCUUUGGACUGCUGUCUUGCUCACUGGUGAAGGAAGUGCGUCAUACUUCCGGGUCACUCGCUCCGUGUGUUUUUGCUGCUGCACAACAGAUCUCCGGUUGGUUGGCUAAUCCUCUACACGGUCCCAUUCAAAAGCGGAUGUUAACGAAGGCUACCAGUACUGUUUGUACCCUUUGAGCUGUCUUCUCCUGGGUGAUACAAGGCGAUGCCUGAUCGAGACCGGACUAAUUCAACUGGAGACUGACUUCAGCUGCAGAGCAUUUAUUCAUUAGCUGCUGUUUUGCCUGGAUUAAUGUUUGUGUAACACGUAAACUUUAUUAUAAUAACCUUAGUGUUAGCUGUGUUGGUUAUACGUUUGUCCCGGAUGACUGGUUGCGUAAACGUUCGGCCUUGAAACAUUAUUAUUAACCACCUGACGUGGCUGUCGCACGCUCGCCUUGUAUUGCUGUGCGUGUGCACGAGCGUGCUGGGAACAUUAUACUAGACACUUUAUUUCAUUUGCACACUUGUCCUGGACUGCUGUUCAUGUAUGCGUAUGCUUUGGACAUUAUAUUAAGUUCAUGUAAUUGUAAAACGCCCGUUUUAGAGUACUGGGCGAGACGUGCCUGUCUUGCUGUA